GAGUUUCAGAGUUCGAUGGGGGUAUUCGAGGUGGAGUUGCUUUUCGCUUCAUUUCAGCGUAGGAGUGGGAUGUGGGACUAAGGGUUUGUCUUGAGUGAUGGUGGGGACUAGGGAUACGACUACGUUUUUGGUGUCUUGACCAAUAAGCGAUGGCGAUAGUUUGAGUCUAAGGGUUCCGAGUUUAAGGACUUCUCGAAACGAAACAAAAAAAACGAGAGAAAAAGAAAAAAAACAUGGCUUGCAAGAGGAAAUUUUUUGAGAUGGUUAAGGAGUCUGGCAUCCUCUUCGUCGAGGACAUUAAGAGGCGACGAAUGGAGAAAAUGGAGGUUCAGAGGAUGAACCGUCUAUUCGAGGAAUCCGGAGGCUUCGACAUUUUCAGCAUAAGGUGGUUGAUGGAGGGUCGUCUGGGGUCAGUCCAUCCAGAGGAGGAUUGAGACCACCCUGCGUGGUCAUCACCUCGUGGCAUUUACGCCGCUUAUGACGAUGAUUGAGGAGGGGAAUUUAUAUUGUUUUUAUGUUUAUUUUGAUAUUUAUAUUUGAGUUAAUGUAAUGAGGAGCU
This is a long non-coding RNA of Venturia canescens, 559 nucleotides long. RefSeq lists it as uncharacterized. The record is from RefSeq and is a predicted model, not a curated record. NCBI's taxonomy places the organism in Eukaryota, Metazoa, Arthropoda, Insecta, Hymenoptera, Ichneumonidae. The transcript is spliced from 3 exons.